This 445-nucleotide ribosomal RNA is filed under the name uncultured bacterium. Its description in RNAcentral is "partial 16S ribosomal RNA". It matches the Rfam family "Bacterial small subunit ribosomal RNA", at positions 354 to 796 of the family's 1533-position model. The record is from RNAcentral.
GUAGGGAAUAUUGGGCAAUGGAUGCAAGUCUGACCCAGCCAUCCCGCGUGCCGGAAGAAGGCCCUCAGGGUUGUAAACGGCUUUUGACGGUGAAGAAUCGACAGGAUGCGUCCUGUUUUGACGGUAGCCGUUGAAUAAGCACCGGCUAACUCCGUGCCAGCAGCCGCGGUAAUACGGAGGGUGCGAGCGUUGUCCGGAUUUAUUGGGUUUAAAGGGUGCGUAGGCUGGAAGGUCAGUCAGCGGUGAAAAGCUAUCGCUUAACGAUAGUCUUGCCGCAGAUACUUCCUUUCGUGGAUGAGGAGGAGGCCACUGGAACGGAUGGUGUAGCGGUGAAAUGCAUAGAUAUCAUCCAGAACACCGAUUGCGAAGGCAGGUGGCUGUACCUUAAUCGACGCUGAUGCACGAAAGCAUGGGGAGCAAACAGGAUUAGAUACCCCGGUAGUCC